Molecule: transfer RNA, 74 nt
Filed under: Xanthomonas arboricola
Lineage: Bacteria; Pseudomonadati; Pseudomonadota; Gammaproteobacteria; Lysobacterales; Lysobacteraceae
Description: tRNA-Gly
Source: RNAcentral
GUAUUUGAAUGGAAAGAAAUAUUCAAUAGCUUCCCAAGCUACUGACGUGGGUUCGAUUCCCAUCGCCCGCUCCA